CCCCGCGCGCCUGCCACCGUGGCCGCCCCCACCGCCUACCACCCAACACGCGAUAAAAUCUCGUGGACGCUUCCUUACGCCACAAGCAUGGCCCGAUGACCGACACGUGGCGGGGCAGCCGAGCGGGGUGAAACCCACCGGCAACGGGAGGUGGGUGGUUGAUGGAUGGCGGCACGCCCGUUUGUUCGCUUCCCUAACAAAUCUUUUUAUCCUCUUGUAAAAACUCAACACUCCACGCAAAAUAAAGCAAGAAUAAUACAAUACGAGUACAUAAAGAUGAAAUGGCGCUACGCCAUCGGCUUUGGCACGGGACCACCGCGCGCGGGGUCCGCGUGGACGGAUGGGCCGCCUGAUCUGGACAGUGCGGUGCGGUUUAACCGGGCUGACGUGGCGCCUGCGCGCACCGGUUGGUUGCUACGGGUGGGUUAAAAGGGCACGAGGAAAGUCUCCAGGCAGCAGCAGCGGCAGUGGAGGCGGGCGGGGCCCACGCGCGGGCCCGGGCAUCUCCCGUCUCAUCCGCUUUUCUUUCCUUUUUCUUUUUCUCUUUCCUAACGUUCUGCUCGUGGGCUCCGACGUGGCGGAGGGGGUGACGUCGGCGGGGCCCGCCGGCCACCAACCUUCACCGCACCACUGGCCUACUUCUACUCUGAUGAAUUAUUAGUAAGAUAUUCCUUGAAAACACCCAGUAGUUUAAUAUCAUUACCACGGAGGAGAUCCGGAAGAUGUCAUUGUAUACGCGGAUUGGCGCGGUUUUACUUACACUAACUUUGGAGCAUUGAAGGCCGGUAAAUUUAAAUUUAAAUGUUUUCGCUGUGGUGUGGUGUGGUGCGGUGCGGGGCGUCGUGUUCUGGAUCCAGACGCCACCGGCAUCGGGUGCAUAUAUGCAUGGCGACGUACUGCUGCUCGCUUUAAAUUGCAAGUUUUUUAAACGAGCCACGUGCGCCUUCUUUCCAGCAUUGUACACCCAAAUUGAAUUUUGAAAAGAAAUAAAGAGUAAUUCAAGGCAUAUUUUCAGUAGGUGGCUAUCAAUGAAAAUAUGCCUGCGAAUCACUUUUUUUUUUUAAAAAACUCAAUUUGGGUGUAUUUUUGGAAAACAAAGUUAGAGGAUCGAUUUUGUUUUUUUAUCAUGACUUUACAAAUAUGAUUUCAUGAUGAAAUUUUGAAUGCACAACAAGUAUUUCCAAAAUAUAUCAUUUCUUUAAAUUUAUUAUUUUAUUUUGAACAUUUGUGCCUAGUUAUAGAAACUCCGCGUCCGUUGUAGGCUUCUUUUUGCUUAUGUCACUGAGUGUAUGUAGAAGGUACAUGUGGUGUUUAAUUUGACGUGGUUAGCAAGGACACAAGAUUUUGAUUCAUGAAAAGGGAAAGGACAUAUGGAUAGUAAACUUUGAAUGCAAUGGACAACAACAAGCACACGCUUCCUCAAAGAAGGGCAUCAAGAACAUUUUUCCUUGGCAUCUCGAUUAACUCAAUAAAACGUGGGUGUUCCCUCCUCCUCCCCUCCCUCGCACAUCGACAAACACACACGACAUGCACAUGUGUGCCCUUUUUGUGUGUUUGUGUGCGUUGUUGCUCACCCCGCAUGCCCAUAGUUUGGGAAGACCAUGUGUCCUUGAAGCUUCGCCCGUUGGCCAACUUCACACCUAUGCUUAUUGCAUUUGUGAGAUUUGAAAUAACUGCUAUGAGUGAUUUUUGGAAAGGACGAUGGGAGAGGGUUAGAUCCGGCAAAUUUGCUGAAAUAGCACUAUGUGCCCUUCGUUAGUCGGGGACGGGAAGCGAGACUCUCGACUUCCUUUUGAGAUCAGAGGGAGCAUGCCAAAGUGAUAAUGAACGGCCAUGACCGUGCCUUCCAUUCAUGGUGAUUGGUCAAAACUUUAUAUAAUCUCCAAAGAAGGAGUUCCAAGAAAUACACAAAGAGGUGUAUUCUAGUUGUUGCCAAAUUAGCAACUGCGAAUGGCGGUCUCCGAGUAGAGAUUAUCAUAUCAAAUACAAGAUUAUUAAUUCUAAACGCUCCUCCUAAUGUGUGCAUGUACUCUCAUCGCUCUUGAAAAAGUGCACCAAUUUCUAAAUUGUGAAUUGAGAAAAAUGUGUGCGCGUGGGGGGGUGUUGUCCCCCCUAGGUGUGUGUGCAUGCCCUUAUGCAUCUUGUUUCCCACGCAUGCGUCGUCACUUAGCUCGUGUGGCCGCGUUCGGAAAGCCAAUCCACGUGCCCAUGAUGCUUCACCCAUUGGUCGCAUUAGAAGCUAUCUAUGUCGCAUGCAUGAGGUUUGGAAUAACCGCUACAUGUGAUUUGCGAAGAGAGUUAUGUUUGGAGGGAAAUACCAAAAUAGCAAUAGUGUGCCCUUCCUUGGUGGAAGAUAAGAAGCAAGACUCGUGACUUUCUUUGGAGAUCAGAGGGAGUAUAACAAAGUGAUAGUGAAUGGCCAUGACUUUGCCUUAUCAUUCAUGAUGAUUGAUCAACGAUUUAUAAAAUGUCCAAAGAGCGGUUCUGAGAAAACAUGGAGGGGUGUAUUCGGGGUGUUGAGAAUUUAGCAACUCCCAAAUGUGGUUUACAUGCAAUGAUUUAUCUUAUCUAACACGAUAUUAAUUAAUUCUACACACUCCUCCGGAUGAGUGCAUUUAUUCCCACCACUAUUGAAAAACACAUCAAUUUUCUCAAUUUUGAAUGGAGAAAAGCGUGUGCGUGUGGUAGGUGCUUUUGCUCAAAAUCAUUCCUAUAAGUGUGCGUGUGCAUGCGCAUGUGUAUCUCGUUUCAUGUGCAUGCACUAUCGCUUAGCCCAUGUGCCCAUGCUCGAGAAGCCAAUCCACAUGCCCUUGAUCCUUCACCCAUUGUCCAUAAUAGAAGCUAUGUAUGUGGCAUGCACGAGAUUUGGAGUAACCGCUACACGAAAUUAGUGGAGAGGGAUAGGUUCUGAGGGAAAAGACCAAAAUAGCAAAGUGUGGCCUUCCUUACUGGCAAAUAGAAGCAAGACUCAUGACUUCCUUCACAGGUUGGCGGGAGUAUAACAAAGUAACAAUGAAAGAACAUGUCAUGGUUUUGUCACGACGAAAAUCCUCGUGAUAGGACUAAGUCUAGGAGCUAUCACAACUAGGUGGUUGCUUGGAUGGGGUUGAUCGGGAAUGAGAGACAAGAGUUUACCCAGGUUCGGCCCCUCCGAUGGAGGUAAAAACCUGUGUCCUCCUUUUUGUCUUUAUUGAUGAUGAUCUCGAUUACAAGGGUUCGAAAUCUCUAACCUAACUCUCGAGGAUUUCUAACUUGUCAUUUCUACCUCAGGGGUCCCCUUUAUUUAUAGGUUGAGGCCCUAAGAUCACAAUAGAGUCUGGGUCGUACUGCAACCCGUGACUUAGUCUAAUUCCUACUCAUCUUCUCAUCCAAGUAGGGAAAGCUUCUUAUGUCUUCCGCAACGAGUCAGCCCACCAGGUGAUUGCGUAACCCGACCUUCAAGACGAGCCCCCCCUUGGGCCUCAUGUCUCAUGUAGGUCUUGUUAUUUGGUUGGAUUUGGAAGGUCGGGUCAUGCCGUGGGCGGGUUACGCCAUGGGGUAUAUCCCCAACAUUAGCCCCCAUUUUAAUUUGGAUUCAUCCAUGUUAAACUCCAACUUGAAAAAUGAAAAAGAGCCUUCAUAGAUGAAGUUAAGCUUUGAUCCUUUUACCCUUAAGCCGAUAUUUCUCCUUGCUGAUGACGUGUCCGAGUUGAUAAUAUGUCGGUUUAUUUCUUCUGUCCAACACUUAGCUUCUUUUUUAUCUCCUUCGCCACCAUAUCAUCAUAAUGACUGUUGACAUGGACGGGUCAUGAUGACGAAUCUUGUUUUUGAACAGUAGUCAAAUCUAGGCAGAUGCGAAAAUCAAGGCGACACAGCCGCCGCUAAUUGCUUUAAUCCAUUAUUUUUGCUGCGCCGCUUCGGUUUCAAACCUUCCCUUAUAAAUAGACCGUACGGGGUCAUUUCUUGAUUUUUCUCCCGUCUUAUUCCUCUCGCCAAUUUCUAAAUUGUGAAUUGAGAAAAAAUGUGUGCGCGUGGGGGGGUGUUGUCCCCCCUAGGUGUGUGUGCAUGCCCUUAUGCAUCUUGUUUCCCAUGCAUGCGUCGUCACUUAGCUCGUGUGGCCGUGUUGGGAAAGCCAAUCCACGUGUCCAUGAUGCUUCACACAUUGGCCGCAUUAGAAGCUAUCUAUGUGGCAUGCAUGAGGUUUGGAAUAACCGCUACAUGUGAUUUGCGAAGAGAGUUAUGUUUGCAGCGAAAUGCCAAAAUAGCUAUAGUGUGCCCUUCCUUGGUGGAAGAUCGGAAGCAAGACUCGUGACUUUCUUUGGAGAUCAGAGGGAGUAUAACAAAGUGAUAGUGAAUGGCCAUGACUUUGCCUUGUCAUUCAUGAUGAUUGAUCAAAGAUUUAUAAAAUGUCCAAAGAGCGGUUCUGAGAAGACAUGGAGGGGUGCAUUCGGGGUGUUGAGAAUUUAGCAACUCCCAAAUGUGGUUUACAUGCAAUGGUUUAUCCUAUCUAACACGGUAUUAAUUAAUUCUACACACUCCUUUGCAUGAGUGCAUUUACUCCCACCACUAUUGAAAAAACACAUCAAUUUUCUCAAUUUUGAUCGGAGAAAAGCGUGUGUGUGUGUGGUAGGUGCUUUUGCUCAAAAGUAUUCCUAUAAGUGUGCGUGUGCAUGCGCAUGUGUAUCUCGUUUCAUGUGCAUGCAUUAUCGCUUAGCCCAUGUGCCCACGCUCGAGAAGCCAAUCCACAUGCCCUUGAUCCUUCACCCAUUGUCCAUAAUAGAAGCUAUGUAUGUGGCAUGCAUGAGAUUUGGAAUAACCGCUACGCGAAAUUAGUGGAUAGGGAUAGGUUCUGAGGGAAAAGACCAAAAUAGCAAAGUGUGGCCUUCCUUACUGGCAAAUAGAAGCAAGACUCGUGACUUCCUUCACAGGUUGGCGGGAGUAUAACAAAGUAACAAUGAAAUAACAUGUCAUGGUUUUGUCACGACGGAUGUCCUCGUGAUAGGACUAAGUCUAGGAUCCAUCACAACUAGGUGGUUGUUUGGAUGGGGUUGAUCGGGAAUGAGAGACAAGAGUUUACCCAGGUUCGGCCCCUCCGAUGGAGGUAAAAACAUGUGUCCUGCUUUUGGUUUUUAUUGAUGAUGAUCUCGAUUACAAGGGUUCGAAAUCUCUAACCUAACUCUCGAGGAUUUCUAACUUGUCAUUUCAACCUCAGGGCCUCCCCUUUUUUAUAGGUUGAGGCCCUAAGAUCACAAUAGAGUCUGGGUCGUACUGCAACCCAUGACUUAGUCUAAUUCCUACUCAUCUUCUCAUCCAAGUAGGGAAAGCUUCUUAUGUCUUCCGCAAUGAGUCAGCCCACCAGGUGAUUGCGUAACCCGACCUUCAAGACGAGCCGCCCCUUGGGCCUCAUGUCUCAUGUAGGUCUUGUUCUUUGGUUGGAUUUGGAAGGUCGGGUCAUGCCGUGGACGGGUUACGCCAUGGGGUAUAUCCCCAACAUUAGCCCCAGUUUAAUUUGGAUUCAUACAUGUUAAACUCCAUCCCAAAAAGUGAAAAAGAGCCUUCACAGAUGAAGUUAAGCUUUGGUCCUUUUACCCUUAAGCCGGUAUUUCUCCUUGCUGAUGAUGUGUCCGAGUUGAUAAUAUGCCGGUUUAUUUCUUCUGUCCAAAACUUAGCUUCUUUUUUAUCUCCUUCGUCACCAUAUCAUCCUAAUGACUGUUGACAUGGACGCGUCAUGAUGGCGAAUCUUUUUUUGAACAGUAGUAAAAUCUAGUCACAUGCGGAAAUCGAGGCGACACAGCCGCCGCUAAUUGCUUUAAUCCAUUAUUUUUGCGGUGCCGCUUCGGUUUCACCCCUUCCCUUAUAAAUAGACCGUACGGGGUCAUUUCUUGCUUUUUCUCCCGUCUUCUUCCUCUCGCCGCCUUAGUCUUCUUGAGCAUCAUCAGAGUUCAAGCCCGAGAAUACAUCUAGUCAUGCUGGCAUUGUCGAUAGCGCGUCCACAUCGCGUGCGGUCUUCUCCAGGAAUGCAUCUCUACAAGCCAUUCUUGUUCCUAGAUCCCGUAAGUAGAACUUCUUCCAUUAGGUUUUUUCGUCGGAGUUCAUCGUAGUUAUUUGUAGUUCUUGUGAACCGCAAUAUCAAUAGAUCCAAAACUCCCGGUUCCAUCUAGCGUAUGUAGUUUUGAUAUUAGUCUCCUCCUUAUUUUGCAAAAUGUUAGGUCUAGAACGCCUUAUUAGAUCUUGUGUACACAUCACCUUCGAUACCUCCGCUGGUCCUAGAACAUUUUCAUUCCUUUUUCCGUAAUUUAUCUGAUCCAGUCAUCCUGUUGCUUUGGUAGAAAGUGGUUUUUGCACGUAAAUUGCGCAUAGUCCCAUGGAUCUCGUAUUUCACCAUUUAGCCGGCUUAGCUCAUACUUCUUCAUUUUGCCGCCUUAACUCAUACUACACCAUUGAACCAAGUUAACUUGUUAGUCUCCUCAUUAGCUUGUGGGUUUGCUUUCCGGAUUAUCCGGUUGUCCAUUGCCCCCCACCAUAUAUCGGCUUACUUUCAAUUUACUGGCUUGUUUUCUAUUUUCUCCUUAUAGAGUUUUCUGCAACAAUUUCAAUGGCCCCCAAGACGAGUAAAUAUUGUGGCUCGGUCCGGUCCAGAGUGUGAGUGCUUACUGUGCAGGACCUCGUAGGCCAAGGGAGUUUGCCCGCUCAAGAUGAACUUGACUGGUGAGUCCCUGAAGAAGAAGCUACUCCAUAGCCCGGACACGGGGAAGUUGUCGUUUUUUGUGAUCAUAUGAUCACGGGUUUUCGGUUGCCCAGGUCAAAAUUCUUCAUAGAUAUACUCCAUUUCUUCCACCUUAGGCCCCAAGAUAUUGGCCCCAAUUCCAUGACUAAUAUCUCCUAGUUUCAAGUUCUUUGUGAGGUGUAUAUCCAAAUCGAACCUACCAUGACUCUCUUUAGGCGGUUCUUCUAUAGCAACCACCAAACUGAGAUGAAGAAUGGUCUGAGUGUAGAGCUUGGUGGGAUUUUGAUUCACAAAAGAAAGAACAAUGUUUUUCCUGAAUCAAAGUUGGCGAGUCAUCCUAAAGGUUGGAAAUCCACUUGGUUUACUGUAAGGAUACUUCUCCAGAAGGUCAGAAUCCUUUGCCGGGUUAUAGACCUGACUAGAUUAGCGCCACGUGCAAAUUUCCACGUUGGCCAGGUGAGGAAGAGGAGAAACUGUUGGCACCCACACUCUUAAGGCUGAAAACUUUAACUGCUCAUCGUCUUAUCGGGAAUUGAUCUGAUCCGGUGUUGGAUAAGCUAGAUGAUUCAUCCCCUUAGUUUAAGGGGUGAAUUGAUGUGCAAUUAUACUAGCGAGUCAAGGGACGCCCAACGCUUUAGAGAGGUGGAUUUUUUCCAAAAAUGAAAUCAACAAAGCCACCAAGAAAAUGUUUGGCGACUCAAAAGAGAAGUGGAGUGUGACCGGCUUAGCUCCAUUCUGCGGGACCAACCCGGUUCCACGUGCAAAUUCCGAUUUUCGAAGAGUUAGGGCCAGGACCCUUAUUCCUCCUCCUCCUGGUCAAGCGGAUGACCUGACACGUGAAGCCACCUUGGGUGGAGAGUCUGAGGUAGAACUUGACUCGCCUGGUCGUGUCUUUGUUGAACUUGCUAAUGAUUCUUCUCCCAAGGGCAAUACUAGUCAAGCCGACGAUGUUGAGCAAACUCAGCACGCCGCUCAGUCGAAGCGCAAGACCCGGAGUAGCUCCGGGGAACUGUCUCUCGGCUUACCUCUCGAGUUGAUCGUCCACAGACAACGUUUUGAGGUGCCGCAUAGCCCAAGUGCUUCUCAUCCUCAAGCUAGCCUUUUUAAACAACCUCUUAGUCCAUCUAAUUCACUUUAUCAGGAGUCGCCACCUUCCUCUAGCGACUCAAGAGCAACACAGUUUCUGGCUUUCACCAUCAAUCGUGGAGCCAAAGCUUUUGCCCGAAAAAAGGUGGGCGAGUCUUCUUCUGCUGAUGGGGAUCACAACAUUCAAAUUCCUCCGACAGUUGAAGUGGCGACCCAAGUUGAGCCGUCUAUCUAGAAUGAGCCGGAAUUAGGCAUUAAACCACCUCGUGAUGUGGAGAUGACCCAUGCUCAAGAAACAGUUAUCACACAGACAACUGCUUAUAAUCAAGGCGCAUCCAAUGAGCCGAACAUUCAACCUCCUAGCCAUCCUCAUCCUUCAAUCCCUAUGCCCCAUGUGGAUAAUGUUGCUCCAUCAGCCGCCAUAGACAACAUAGAAAUGGCUAUUUUGGGAGAAGCCUUUCAAGCCCCUCGCACUUCGUCUGUUUUAGCGAAGAUUGUGACCAAGGAUGAUCCCGCGAAUUUGGAGAAGGGAAAGGCCAAGCUGGAGCUUCCACGGCUUGAUGAGCUUGAUACCAAUGGGUUAUACCAGCAACAUGUGACCCGAUUGUAUGAGAUCCGGGACAUUGAAAUGAACUUGGUCAACACCUUGAGAACUAAAUAUGAGGUUAACUUUUUAACUUGUACCCUUUAUAAUGUAUCUUGUAGCCCCCAAGGGCCAACUUAGGGUGUGUUCGGACUCCCUUCGCUCCGCGACUCCGCGCUAGAGUGGAGUGGCAUCCAGUGAUAAUUUGGAGAGCUACUAAAACAUCGCUCGGUGUGCUCCGCUCCGUGGAGGGCUGUCGAACAGGCGCUUAGUACAAUAGGUA
Molecule: long non-coding RNA, 8658 nt
Organism: Hordeum vulgare subsp. vulgare (domesticated barley)
Lineage: Eukaryota; Viridiplantae; Streptophyta; Magnoliopsida; Poales; Poaceae
Exons: 4
Source: RefSeq, a predicted model, not a curated record